Felis catus (domestic cat) is the source of this 85-nucleotide transfer RNA. It matches the Rfam family "tRNA". Rfam says of the family: Transfer RNA (tRNA) molecules are approximately 80 nucleotides in length. The record is from Rfam. Lineage: Eukaryota; Metazoa; Chordata; Mammalia; Carnivora; Felidae.
GCCUGGGUGGCUCAGUCGGUUGAGCGACUGACUUCCGCUCAGGUCAUGAUCUCACAGUUUGUGAGUUCAAGCCCCGCUUCGGGCU